UUUUACAUUUUAUCGAGAAUCGAAACUAAUAUUGAUUUAAUCAAACUUAAAAUGCCACAUUUUCUGUAAUCGUUCGUGUAAAGGAAGCUUCUUAUAUUUCUAGUAGCGAUGUAAGCUUUAUCAAGUAGACUAAAAUAGUAGGCUAAGUAUAUUUCUUAAACUGCGUGCCGAAAGAGAUUCUUAGGUGUAGGCCAACCGCGUAACUUUUUGGAAGACAGUUAAUCUAUUUGUAGCCAAUGUCGAACAGGCAAUCAGGAAAACUUGCAAUAUUUUAGUGCGGACUAUCUAGUGUUAUGCUGGGUAUAGAUUAGAAUCUAUACUCAAAAUUCUUUUUUUUGUGACUUGUUGUUGAAACGCGUUCUUAUGAUUUCUUUCAAGUAAUAGAACACUCGAAAACUAA
RNAcentral lists this ribosomal RNA (400 nucleotides) under phytoplankton environmental sample. Its description in RNAcentral is "partial small subunit ribosomal RNA". The record is from RNAcentral.